This 433-nucleotide ribosomal RNA is filed under the name uncultured bacterium. RNAcentral's name for it is "partial 16S ribosomal RNA". It matches the Rfam family "Bacterial small subunit ribosomal RNA", at positions 29 to 507 of the family's 1533-position model. The record is from RNAcentral.
AACGAACGCUGGCGGCAUGCCUAACACAUGCAAGUCGAACGAGACCUUCGGGUCUAGUGGCGCACGGGUGCGUAACGCGUGGGAACCUGCCCUUAGGUCCGGAAUAACUCCCCGAAAGGGGUGCUAAUACCGGAUAAUGUCUUCGGACCAAAGAUUUAUCGCCUUUGGAUGGGCCCGCGUUGGAUUAGCUAGUUGGUAGGGUAAAAGCCUACCAAGGCGACGAUCCAUAGCUGGUCUGAGAGGAUGAUCAGCCACACUGGGACUGAGACACGGCCCAGACUCCUACGGGAGGCAGCAGUGGGGAAUAUUGGACAAUGGGCGAAAGCCUGAUCCAGCAAUGCCGCGUGAGUGAUGAAGGCCUUAGGGUUGUAAAGCCCUUUUACCCGGGAUGAUAAUGACAGUACCGGGAGAAUAAGCUCCGGCUAACUCCGUG